ACGAACCUCGGGGGAGAGAGCGACGGGCCAGCGGUGCAAACCGACGGUCGCGGUCGACGCCGAAGGAGCAACCGCCCCGGAAACUCUCAGGCGAACGUACUCCGAGGUGAGG
RNAcentral lists this non-coding RNA (112 nucleotides) under alpha proteobacterium BAL199. RNAcentral describes it as "Glycine riboswitch aptamer". It matches the Rfam family "Glycine riboswitch aptamer". Rfam says of the family: This family represents the bacterial glycine riboswitch. The record is from Rfam by way of RNAcentral. Lineage: Bacteria; Pseudomonadati; Pseudomonadota; Alphaproteobacteria.